This 426-nucleotide ribosomal RNA is filed under the name uncultured bacterium. RNAcentral describes it as "partial 16S ribosomal RNA". It matches the Rfam family "Bacterial small subunit ribosomal RNA", at positions 354 to 796 of the family's 1533-position model. The record is from RNAcentral.
GUAGGGAAUAUUGCGCAAUGGACGAAAGUCUGACGCAGCGACGCCGCGUGAGUGAUGAAGGCCUUGGUCGUAAAGCUCUGUUGCAGGGGAAUAAAAAAAUGAAGGUACCCUGUGAGGAAGGAUCGGCUAACUUCGUGCCAGCAGCCGCGGUAAGACGAGGGAUCCUAGCGUUGCUCGGAAUCAUUGGGCGUAAAGAGGGCGUAGGUGGCUUGGUAAGUCAGGUGUGAAAGCCCAGGGCUCAACCCUGGAAGUGCAUUUGAUACUGCUGAGCUUGAGUGUCGGAGAGGUUACCGGAAUACCUGGUGUAGUGGUGAAAUACGUAGAUAUCAGGUGGAACACCGGAGGCGAAGGCGGGUAACUGGACGAACACUGACACUGAGGCCCGAAAGCGUGGGGAUCAAACAGGAUUAGAAACCCUAGUAGUCC